Molecule: long non-coding RNA, 3781 nt
Filed under: Gossypium barbadense (sea-island cotton)
Lineage: Eukaryota; Viridiplantae; Streptophyta; Magnoliopsida; Malvales; Malvaceae
Description: long non-coding RNA (GBAR_LNC003685)
Source: RNAcentral
GGUUUUAGUGCAUUUCUGGAUGGUGCCUGAAUGGUAUUGCAUGAAGCUUUUAUAAGUCUUGUCAUAGAAUUACAGUAAAGGAUAAAUCAGGGGUAGCUUGAUCAUAAGUUUCCAGCAAGGAAAAGGUAUCUUUUACUUGGUAAUAACCCCAGAUACUGGUUGGACCACCUUAUAGGUAAUGGCACCCAUGUCUUGGCCUCACAAGACUAAAGCUCUGUGGGGAAUGUCAAGAAACACUACAUUUUUAAAGGCAGGAGAAAAAAUUGGGUAUUAUGUUGAGCCCAUAUCAUCGGGAUCACCAGGAAGGUUAUCACGAACAGCAUGUUAUUUGCUCAAACAUCUGCAUCUGUCCCAGAAAUAAUGAAGUGCAUUGAGGACGAAAUCAGAGGGAACCUAGGCUGUUACAACCACAUCAGUAAAGCGCAAGCCAAUAAUGGACUUAGCCACUGUUGAAACAUAGAUCAGGAGAUUUUUAGCUAAACCCUAUGUUCUGCUUUUAACGGUUGUACCAUUUUGUAGCAGGUUCUAUUGUUCUGGGUAAAUGAAAUCUUAGGUUACUCCAAAAAAUGAAGUGUGCUACAAACUUUUGUUCCUCUAGUAAGCAAUUCGAUAAAAAAUACAGCCAACUGUUAUUGCUAUUGUUGAGAGGAUGGAAAAGUCCUAAUAACUAGAGACAAUUUUUUUGGCCAAACUAGAGACAAUACUUAGUCACCCUGUUUAUACACACCCAGAAAACUUCAGUGGUAGAACAGGCUGACUGUCUUGACUAUUUCAUACUGCAUAAGAAAAGACAAUUUUUUUAUGGAGACAUCGUCUCUUUCCUUAUUGGUGUAACGACCCAAAAUUUACAAUGAUCGGAAAGUGUAUUUUUGAGUCUUCGUUUUCGACAAACGGAUUCGUAAAUAUUUAUUAAAAAUAUUUACAAAGUUAGUUGUGUGGUUAAUUAAGUUUUGGCUAGGUGAAUUAGUUGAAAUUAAGAAUAAUUAGGUAUAAGAACUAAAUUGCAUAUAGAGUAAAAGUUGAAUUAUAGAAUAGAAAAAAGUUAAGGGACUAAAUAAAUGAAUAAACCAAAUUAUAACAAUUGUAUGAUAGUAAUAAUAUACACGUGUAAUAAAUACAUACAUUUGUAAUAUAUAUACUUACUUAUUAUUUAAAAAAAUAUUAUAUUAUAUUAUAAUUAAAGAAUAAAAGAAAUAAAUAGAAAAAGAGAGAAACAGAAACGAAAUAGAGAAAGAGUAGAAAGAAAAGAAGGAGAAUUAAGGAUUUUAGGGUUCAAACUCAAAUUGGUAAGUCAAUUUAGUCCCUUUUCUUGGAAUUUUUAUGUUUUUAGAGACCUAAAUUAAAAUACUACUUGAUUUAUGUUGAAAUUCUAGAAAUUAGUGAAUUUUUAGAUGUUAUUCAUAUUGAAUAAAUUGAAGUGUUAGGGGUUAAAUUGAUAAAAUUUCAAGUUAGAAUAGAGAAAAGGGAUUGAAUUGUAGAAUAAAUUAUAAGUUUUGAACAAUAAGGACUAACUUGUGAAAUUUUUGAAAUUGAGGUUAUAUGGUAAAUUUUGAGAGCUAAAAUUUGUUUAAAGUGGGAAUAGAAUGAAAAUAUGGAAUUAGUUUUAAAGAAAAUAAAAUUAGUCUUAGUUAGGGAUUAAAUUGAAAUUUAGGCAAAAGUUAAAUAGAAAUUGAAAUAUUCAAGGUGAAAUUGUGUGUAUUGAUGAUUUUAAAUAGUUUUAAUUUCGUAGCUAACAUUGAGCCGGCGACUUAGGCUAAGAAAGGAAAAGACAAGGUUAACGAGGAGUAACUCGGGAAUUACGGUUUGUAUUUCUAUAAUCCAAAUUUAAUAAUUAAUUGUUGUAAUUAUUAUUUCAUGUGUACAGUAAAUGGAUAGAGGUGAGUAUUGGUAUUAUGGUAUUGAAAUGAAUUGAAUUGAAUUUAUGAGUAUUUGUGAGCAUUUGAAUUGAAAUGUAUAUAUUGUUUGGAAAUUGAAAAGUGAUUUAAAACCUUAUUAACUGUAUCGAGCUGAGUCGGAUAUAGUUGGCAUGCCAUAGAAUUGAAAGUAUUCAGGGAUUACUUCGACUUCGAGUCGAUGAGACACAAAGUGUCAAACUAUUAAAUUCGAUGAGGUACUGGGUACCAAUUUACUUUGAUUUAGCCGAUGAGACACUGGGUGUCAAUCUAUUAUUUCAAAUUAUCCGAUGAGGCACUAGGUGCCAUACUGGUGUGUUUUGGUUGGAUCUGUGUAUCCGCCAAAGUCCAAGUCUUAUUAAUAGGGGUGAAUAAAUAAUUUGGCAAUAUAAAUGAUAUUGAAUGAUUUUGAUUAUGAAAUUGAAAUAGAUAUUGAAUUAAAUUGUUUAAAUGGAAAACAUGAAUCAUGGUUUCAUGGAAAGAUUAUUGAUAUUGAUAGAUGAUUGUGAGAAUCAAGUUGAGAAAAGUCAUUGAGAUAGCUAUUGAUAAAGAUUGAAUAUAUGAUAAUGAUUUUUCUAUGAAUUGAUUAAUUGAAUGAUUAAGGAUUCUAGAUGAUUAAAAUAUUUGUGUUAUAUCAUUUUAUUUAAAGUUUUCGGAUUAUAGAAAUACCACUGAGCAUGCACAGCUUAGGUUAAAGUCGAAAUGCCAAAUCAGCAUCCAAAGCCGAUCCAGAACUCAAAGUGAAGUAAUUUUUUUUUUUGUAAUGGCAUAUACCUAGGAUGUUUUAUAUUGGUCAUUUUGAGAAAAUGUUUGUAAAUGAUAUUAUAAAAUGAUAUUUGGUUGGUUAUAUAUAUAAAUAUAUGUUAUGUUGAAUUAACAAUGUGGUAUUUUUAAGUGAAUGUGUAAAUGAAUUUGAAAUAGGCAAAUAUUUCGGUUGAAAUGGCAUGAUAUUAAAUUUACUUAAAUGAAGUAUAAUUGAAUUGUUUUGAUAGAAAUAUGUGAAGUAUUUAUAUAGGCACAUUGGUUAGGCACUUAGAUUGUCUAUUUUGAUAUGAUUGAGUGUGUUUGAUUGUGUUUUGAAGUGGUUGAAUAAAUGGUUUUUGAAUUGCUUGGUGUUCAAGAUUUGCAGGGUCGAUAAACUUGGUGUAUAAGACUCAUUUUGAGUCCACACGGCCUGGCAAACGGGCGUGUGACCAGACCGUGUGAGAAACACGACCUAACACACAGGAAAGUGCCCUGCCCAGGUGAAAAUUGCACUGAAUUUUCGAACAAUAAAUUGACCACACGGCCUAUCACACGGGCGUGUGACUUGGCCAUGUGAGGUAAGUCAUGGAGUUACAUGGGAUAGGACACAACCUGAGGCAUGGGCAUGUUAUGGGGCCACACGGGCGUGUCCCUUAACCACACGGGCAUGUGUGCCCUGCACCUAGGAAAAAUUUUGGAAUUUUACGAAAAAUUCUCAGAGAACCCAAAUUAAUUCCGAUUUGUUGUUCAUACGUAUUUAUGGUCUCGAGAACCUAUAAAAAUGACAAUAUGAUUAAUUUAUGAAAUGUAUACUAAUUGAAUUGUUUAAUAUUGUAAUCGUUCUGAAAGGUCCGGUAAUGCUAUAUAACCCUAUUCUGGCGACGGAUAAGGGUUAAGGGGUGUUACAGAUGUGACUGAGACCAACAGAAAUCCAGAACAAAGAUGAGUGGGAGAAAAAGGCAAACAAGAACACCAGCAUAAUAAACCGAAUACAUAAAGUCUCACACAAAUACAUCUAAAUAAAGCUUAGCAACAGUCACUUACAGUUCCACUCGAUGUUUUUCCCUUCAAGGUAGCUAGCUUCCGCUCAAAUGAAUUGCCAUGCAUCUGCAAGGCAGUAACUGAAUUAAAACUUUAAACUUAAC